AUAAAUAUUUCAACAAAUUACAUAAUAUUUUAAUGCCUAUCUUGAUCGAUUUGAGAAUUGUGAUUUUUCGACUUUUAAAUUUCAGUUAUAAUCUUCAAUCAAUUUAAGUCUUCAUCGGAGCAUCGUACGUCUCGGGUGGAACACACAAAACUUCCUACACCCGCAUCAAGACGUCUGACAACCGUACAACCAUGAACCGGCCUAUUUGGACAUUGCCUUUAAGCAAGCACACAAUAAAUAAACUAGAUAAACUCGGAUACAAGUGUUGUGAAGAUUUGAUCGAUUCACUCGACGAUCCUGAAAAAAAAUCAACGUUUUUACGAAAACAUAUGGAAUCAGAAUCUGAAAUCCGUGAUAUGCUAAAAACUCCCAUAUACAAAACUGCUGCAGAAUUAGAUAUUGGACGCGAUAGUAUUGCUACGUUUUGCAAGUCUAUUGAUGAACUUUUAAACGGGGGUAUUCAAGUUGGACAGAUAACAGAAUUAUCUGGAGCUCCAGGCUCGGGCAAAAGUCAAUUAAGCAUGCAACUCUGCGUAUCCGUUCAAAUACCGGUAUGUUUUGAAGGACUACAAGCCGAAGCAAUUUAUGUCGAUACAAAUUCAAAUUUUUCCGAACUUCGGUUAACGGAAAUGAUCGACGCUUUCCUCGGCCAUGUGUCUAAAGUAUUAUCGGGACCCAUUGAUUUCAAAGGAGAAGCCAAUAGCGAGUUGCUAAAGAGUCUGACCACCGCUAGCAUGCUGAGUAAAAUACACAGGGUUCAAAUGAAUGACCUAAACCAGCUGUACGCUUUGUAUACGACUCUCGAACGUCAUCCGAACGUGAAAUUAAUCGUGGUGGACAGUUUCGUCAUGCCGCUGUACCAAGUGGAAAAUUCGCUGAGAAAGAAUACGCUAGUCCACAGCUCACUCGGUUUAUUGCAAACCAUAGCUCGCGAACACGAUCUCGCUGUGGUACUAACUAACGAUCUAACAACCGCAAUUACCGAAAACGGCGCAGAAGUUUUUCCGGCGUUAGGUGAAUCGUUUGGUCAUCGCGUUCAAUAUAGACUUCUGCUAAGCAAAAUUCCUAACCAACCCAACGAGUACACGGCGUUGCUGAAGAAAAGCGUCGAGCACGGUCGUUCUGCUGCUCGAUUUACUAUUUCAUCGAAUGGAGUGCGUGAUCUACCUACGGAACAGCCGCAGCUGUAGACGAAGAAAUGAUCAGAAAUUAAAACAAAAAGCGUUGUUCCAUAUACUUGUAUUAUAGUGUACCUAUACGCUUUAGGUAUACUUGCAUGGUUUAACGACCCAGAAUGUUAAAAAGAUACUUUCAGAACGGCUUAACAGCGUAGUUCGCUGACAUACGUACUCGCACACACACACAUAUAUUAUAAUAUUAUACAAUGGUGUUACCCGGCACCUAUUAUUAUUUAUGGUGCACACCAUUCACAUGUCUCGGAAAAAGGUUUCGCGGCAGGACGGAUCGGUGGUGACGAGGCAAGCAGCAAGCGCGUACGUCAUCGUUCGACGAACUUUUCGCAUUGGUACACGCAUGCAUGAACCUGUAUGUAUAAUGUAUGAAGUGAUUUAUUUUAUAUUUAACUGAUUUUGGAAGUCAAGUCAUUUUUAAAAUAAUUAUUUUCUAUACUCACAUUUAAGAAUUAUACUUUUCUUAGGAUUUCAAUAUAAUUAUUAUAUUAUUUUUAUACAUUA
This is an RNA transcript of Aphis gossypii (cotton aphid), 1694 nucleotides long. It is a transcript of the gene named DNA repair protein RAD51 homolog 3, with no coding region annotated. The transcript is spliced from 11 exons. The record is from RefSeq and is a predicted model, not a curated record. NCBI's taxonomy places the organism in Eukaryota, Metazoa, Arthropoda, Insecta, Hemiptera, Aphididae.